UGGGGGAUAUUGCACAAUGGGCGAAAGCCUGAUGCAGCGACGCCGCGUGGGGGAUGAAGGCCUUCGGGUUGUAAACUUCUUUUGCUCUGAACAAGGCGCACCAUGGGGUGUGUUGAGUGUAGGGGUUGAUUAGCGCCGGCUAACUACGUGCCAGCAGCCGCGGUAAUACGUAGGGCGCGAGCGUGGUCCGGAAUUAUUGGGCGUAAAGGGCUUGUAGGUGGGUGGUUGCGUCUGUCGUGAAAGCUCAUGGCUUAACUGUGGGUUUGCGGUGGGGACGGGCGGGCUUGAUUGCAGUAGGGGAGGCUGGAAUUCCUGGUGUAGCGGUGGGAUGCGCAGAUAUCAGGAGGGAUACCGGUGGCGAAGGCGGGUCUCUGGGCUGUUACUGACACUGAGUAGCGAAAGCAUGGGGAGCGAACAGG
RNAcentral lists this ribosomal RNA (419 nucleotides) under bacterium. RNAcentral describes it as "partial 16S ribosomal RNA". It matches the Rfam family "Bacterial small subunit ribosomal RNA", at positions 355 to 776 of the family's 1533-position model. The record is from RNAcentral.